AGGACGAACGCUGGCGGCGUGCUUAACACAUGCAAGUCGAGCGGUAAGGCCCUUCGGGGUACACGAGCGGCGAACGGGUGAGUAACACGUGAGCAAUCUGCCCUCCACAUCGGGAUAACCCCCGGAAACGGGAGCUAAUACCGGAUACGACCACUUCAGGAAUCUGAUGGUGGUGGAAAGUUCUGGCGGUGGAGGAUGAGCUCGCGGCCUAUCAGCUUGUUGGUGGGGUAAUGGCCCACCAAGGCUUCGACGGGUAGCCGGCCUGAGAGGGUGACCGGCCACACUGGGACUGAGACACGGCCCAGACUCCUACGGGAGGCAGCAGUGGGGAAUAUUGGACAAUGGGCGAAAGCCUGAUCCAGCAACGCCGCGUGAGGGAUGACGGCCUUCGGGUUGUAAACCUCUUUCAGCAGGGACGAAGCGAAGUGACGGUACCUGCAGAAGAAGCACCGGCCAACUACGUGCCAGCAGCCGC
This 475-nucleotide ribosomal RNA is filed under the name uncultured bacterium. Its description in RNAcentral is "SSU rRNA". It matches the Rfam family "Bacterial small subunit ribosomal RNA", at positions 26 to 518 of the family's 1533-position model. The record is from RNAcentral.